This 519-nucleotide ribosomal RNA is filed under the name uncultured bacterium. Its description in RNAcentral is "bacterial SSU rRNA". It matches the Rfam family "Archaeal small subunit ribosomal RNA", at positions 345 to 866 of the family's 1478-position model. The record is from RNAcentral.
AACCUCCGCAAUGUGAGAAAUCGCGACGGGGGGAUCCCAAGUGCCAUUCUUAACGGGAUGGCUUUUCAUUAGUGUAAAGAGCUUUUGGAAUAAGGGCUGGGCAAGACCGGUGCCAGCCGCCGCGGUAACACCGGCAGCUCUAGUGGCAGCAGUUUUUAUUGGGCCUAAAGCGUCCGUAGCCGGUUUAAUAAGUCUCUGGUGAAAUCCUGUAGCUUAACUAUGGGGAUUGCUGGAGAUACUAUUAGACUUGAGACCGGGAGAGGUUAGAGGUACUCCCAGGGUAGAGGUGAAAUUCUGUAAUCCUGGGAGGACCGCCUGUUGCGAAGGCGUCUAACUGGAACGGUUCUGACGGUGAGGGACGAAAGUUAGGGGCGCGAACCGGAUUAGAUACCCGGGUAGUCCUAACUGUAAACGAUGCGGACUUGGUGUUGGGUGGCUUUGAGCUGCUCCAGUGCCGAAGGGAGCUGUUAAGUCCGCCGCCUGGGAAGUACGGUCGCAAGACUGAAACUUAAAGGAAUU